RNAcentral lists this ribosomal RNA (430 nucleotides) under Bacillota bacterium. Its description in RNAcentral is "Firmicutes bacterium partial 16S ribosomal RNA". It matches the Rfam family "Bacterial small subunit ribosomal RNA", at positions 355 to 776 of the family's 1533-position model. The record is from RNAcentral. Lineage: Bacteria; Bacillati; Bacillota.
UGGGGAAUAUUGGACAAUGGGCGCAAGCCUGAUCCAGCCAUGCCGCGUGUGUGAAGAAGGCCUUUUGGUUGUAAAGCACUUUAAGCGAGGAGGAGGCUACUUGGAUUAAUACUCUAAGAUAGUGGACGUUACUCGCAGAAUAAGCACCGGCUAACUCUGUGCCAGCAGCCGCGGUAAUACAGAGGGUGCGAGCGUUAAUCGGAUUUACUGGGCGUAAAGCGUGCGUAGGCGGCUUCUUAAGUCGGAUGUGAAAUCCCUGAGCUUAACUUAGGAAUUGCAUUCGAUACUGGGAAGCUAGAGUAUGGGAGAGGAUGGUAGAAGUCCAGGUGUAGCGGUGAAAUGCGUAGAGAUCUGGAGGAAUACCGAUGGCGAAGGCAGCCAUCUGGCCUAAUACUGACGCUGAGGUACGAAAGCAUGGGGAGCAAACAGG